CUGGGCAACAAGAGCAAAACUCAGUCUCAAUAAAAUAAAAUAAUAAAAUAAAAUAAAUUUGUCACUAUGGGAUGCUAAUUGCUUUUCUCUUUGAAUUAAUCUGCCUUAUGCUCUUUGCUAGUGGCUGUAGGUGACAGGAUUAGGCAUAUACUUGAUCAUGGGACAUGAGGAUCUUUUUUCUCCCCAGAGGGGAAAACGAGAGCUGAUGUGACCACUGGAAAAGAUCCCUUUGUGACUGACAAGGAGCUGCCUGAACAUUUGAUUCAGUGUCGCUAUGAGGGGUGGGUUUUCUCUGACCCCUUUGGGCUGCUCGCCUUCCCUACCCUGCUGCAGGCAAUGCUUUUCUCCCUUUCUCUCCUUUCACUUUCCUAUCUUUUCUGUUACUCAGGGUGACUGUCCACUCUUCCAUCUUUCUCAGAUACCAAAAGUUGAAACUCCCGGUCGGUGGAGAUCAUUCCACCCCACUUUGAGUGGAUUAAAGAUAAUGGGGUACCAAUGGGGGCAAGUUUGAACCUUGCCAGGUCUAUAUUGGGUGCUGAGUGGAGUGGCUAAGUGUCUAUGUUUUGUCAUAUGUAUUUUGUUCUGGCUGGGAUUAAAAAAAUGUUAAUUUGGUUCCCCCAUGCAGCCCAUUGGGCAGCAUCUUGCAAAAUUGAGAGGCUUUUGCCUAUGGUUCCAUGAAACAGAAAAAUAUGUUUUUCCUUAGUGAUGUGGCUUGGCCCACAUGGCCAUGGUGCAGCGAGCAGGGUCGCUAGGACCACUCAGGGAAAGGGAACCCAGAAACCUGGCAUGCUGGCAAAAGCAUAAGAAUUUUUUACCAGUCAGACUUCUGGCCUCUCAAUAUCUCUCUCUCUCUCUCGUUUUCUCUCUCACUCUUUCUGUGCAAACAGGUUGAAUGAAUGGUAAAAAUCACUAUUUAUCUCCUCUAUAAAAUUUUGAUUAAUGGGAAAAAGGAUUUGUGAGACUAGUCUUAGGCUGUAGCAAAUCUGGUGUACUUUGCACUAUGAAUUUGUCUUUGUGUGUAGUUCUGUUAUAAAAGGGGUUACCUAUAAGCCUUCUAUUUAAGCUGUACCAGCAAACUGACCAGUUACAAAGUUUGUUGCAGAUUCCUGAAACAAAAAGUAGGUAAAGUUUCCUUCUCGUCUUGUUUUAUGUCCUUGGGAGCUUGACCUUGUGAGUAUAUGGGGAUACUUUCUCUUGGUCUCCACUAUCUAGAGGGUGAAAAUUUUGGGGUUCAUGUCAACAGUUGGCCUAAAAAUUAUAGGCCACUGAAAAUUUUGGCCAAAACCACAAUUACUUUUGCAUGAACCUAGUAUCUUGGGCUCUUAAAAACCUUUGUAAGCUCAAAAUUGGCUGCUCUAGGUUCCUUCUAGGAAGGGCAAUAAACACUGUCCAGUGCUGUAGCUCAGAAGCUAAGGCUUUGCCAUUUCACAAUGGUGACUUGGGUUCAAUUCCCAGCUUAGAGAAUGUACUUUCUGUUUGAUAUUUGUGUGAUCUUUGCCAUUUGUUGAUUCUCCUCACCUUCAUGAACAACUUCUGACUUUCCAGCUUGAAUUUUCCUUUCUCUGAGCUACCUUUGAAGACUCUAGAUCUUGUAAAAACUGCUUACCACCUCUUUGAAAAUACCUCAUACACUCAUGGUUAAGUCAUAAACUUAGUUAAGGCUUAUUGUUUCACCUAGGAAGCUACCUUUAAUAAAGUUCAAAAGCCAGAAAUACUGGCUGUAGGUCCUUACUAGAGUCUAGUAAUAAGAGAUCUGGUUAAACGUCAGCUUAAGUUAAAGCAGAUUAUCCAAGCUAUACAUAUAUUUAAAAGGUCUUUAUGGCUCCCCACCACCCCCACGCCCCAGUUGAAUCUUGUUUUUCUGAAAAAAAAAGCUAUUUUCUUCUCAGUUGACUGAAUUGUUUUUCUCCAUUUUAUCUUCUUGCCACUGUUGACACCCAAAUGAGAGGACCUAAGAUAAUUUCUAACAGCCUGGGACUCCUGGGGAAAAGCAGAGGAGGAGCCACAGACUCCAUUUUGGAAAAACUUCUGAUUUCCUCAUGGAACCCCAAGAAGUGAAAGUGGAUGGAUCCCUCUCAAAAUCUAAGGUUCUGUUCUGUUUUGCAUUGAGUUACCUGACAUCUUUGAUGUUGAUGGGUAUCAGAAAUUACUGUGCAUUAUGAGAGAGCUUUAAUGGUAAUAACUAGGUAGGAAAUAUACUUUUAGGGAUGGCUAGUGGCAAUUAUGGGGGGAUACUCGGCUUUUUGCCUGUUUGGAUCAGGGAAGCAUGCUCUUCGCCACAUAGAAGGUAUGGAUACAUCCCUACCCACUGCCACUGAAAAGUAAGAUCCCCAUGGAGGAUGAGCUGAAGUCCCUCUUUUUGGUAUCCAGGACCUGGUGUAAGAAUUGAACCCUCAAUUUUCAGCAAUCUGUUUUUGCCUUCCAGCUGUGCCUUCUUAUUUGGCCAUAGAAACUGCAUGCUUCCUGGCCCUGUUUGUCGGAGGGCUCUACCCAGAAGCCAGUAAUCUAAUUAAAAAAUGUAAAAACUGGGAAAUGAAAAAUUUUACAAGUACUGGAUUCUCUUCUGUUUCUGUAUUUUUAUGUAUUAUGUGUGUGAUGUUUAUAUAUGAGAGCUCUGAUUAAUUGGCUUAAAAAUAAGCACUUAUGUAUCAAAGAUUUUCUCAGAAAAAUAAAGACUUUAAUGCCUUUUAGUUCAUGUGACUUUAGUAAUCUUUAGGAAAUAAAGACACUUUUAAAGAUUAUUAGUAAAGUAAAAAUGUUUUCAAAAUUUAGACAGUUGGUCUAAAUUAGGUCACAUAUUAGAUUUGAUAAAUGCCUUAAUGUCAUAAACUACUUCUUUAAUUUGAUAAUUGUUCAAAUUACUUGCCUUGGAGCCACUAAAUUCCAGAUAAGGCAGGGGACAUGUGGAGUUAGCUAUGCCCCCUAACUAUGCUGGAAAGACUCAGACCUUAUCUGUACUUCUGUCUGGUGUCCUAGGCUCCACAUCUGGUACAUAAAUAAAAUCACUUACUUGCCAGAGUUUUUACCAACAUAGAAGUUGCUAAGAGUUAAUACUGAAACAUAUAUAAUUGAGACUACUAGCAAAAUAGUUUUACAUGCAAGGUGUGUAAGGAAAGUAAAAUGUGUUUUAGUACAAGAUUUUAAAAAGGCAUGGGAAUAUGGAAUUUUUGUGUGUGCCUAGUUUAGAAAGUUAGUCUAGAACUAAACAGUUGAGCAAGAUGUGGAAGGUUUGUGAGAAGUUAAUCUUGUAAAAAAAUUCUGUAUGUGAACCUAUUGACUAAAGUUAAAGGAAUAUUAUUCAAUUUUUAAAUAAAUUGAACAUCAAAAUAAAAGCACAACAGGGUUUUCUUAGAAUAUUGAUCUACUCUUUCUCUCUUUUUUUUUUUUUUUUCUGGAGGCAGGGUCUCACUGUAUCACCCAGACCAGAGUGCAGUGGCACGAUCACAGCCCUCUGCAGCCGCCACCUCUUGGGCUAAAGUGAUUCUCCCUCCUUAGCCUCCCUAGUAGCUGGAACUACAGGUGUGCACCUCCAUGCCUGGCUAAUUUUUGCAUUUUUUUUGUAGAGAUGGGGUUUUGUCAUGUUUCCCAUGCAGGUCUCCAACUCCUAGGCUAAGGAAUCCACUCACCUUGACCUCUCAAAGUAGUUGGAUUAUAGGCAUGGCCACUGUGCCUGGCCUCAGCUAAUUUUUUGUAUUUUUCAUAGAGACAGGGCUUUGUCAUUUUGCCUAGGCUGGCCUUGAACUUCUGGGCACAAGCAACCUGCCCAUUCAGACUCCCAAAGUGCUGAGAUUACAAAUAUAGAGCCACCACGCCUGGCCAGAUCUGCUGUUUAACAGAAAAUUGUUAAAAGGUUUAUGAGACUCUUACCUCAUGGUCAAACUGAUUAAGGUUGAAUACUUUGUCUAUAAGGUUUUAUUAAGAUUUGGAUUUGACAUUGAUAGUACUCUAAUGCAAAGGUGAAAUUUGGCUUUCUCUCAAACAAAAUUUUCAUGUAAUAUUAAAAGAUAAUGAAAGAUUUCUGUUUGCCUUUUGAAUAAACUACAAGAAAAAGAAGGGAGAAAAGAGACAGAUUGUCUGGAAAAUGAAGUCUUCCUUUUAUCAAUGAAUACAGGUUUUUGCCUUUAAAAAAUUUUUCAGUUAUCAUUUUGGCUAAUUAAAUGACUAAUGGUGACAUGAAAUUUUAUUUUACAAGUAUUUUAAAACUUUGAUACUUGACAAACUUUCCAAAAUCAAAUUCUAAGUGAUGUCUUUUUCUUACCUAAUUAACCUUAUAGAUACUAAGUCCCCUAAAGUCCAAAAAUGACAUAUUUGGAUUAUUUUGGUAUAUUAAAAUCAUACAGGUAGCAUUGUCAAAUAUGAAAUGGUGUUUGGUUUUCUUUAGGUUGCAUUUGUAUAAGUAUGUUAUUGGUAUGUGUUCCAAAAUUAUGAGAAACCCCUGUAAUUCUGAUAUGACUUGGUAUAUGUUUUGAGGAAUAAAUAUAAUUGUUAUGUUAAAUUGUUGUGUACCACAGAAGUAACCAAAUUUUCUUAUCAAUUUUGUCUUUGAUUGUGACUGCCCUAAGACUUCUUGUCAUCCAUAGACAAUUGUUUUCUUAUUUUGAUCCUCCUUCAAAAGACAGUUUAUAAUUAGCGAUACCACUCUCAUGAGUACUCCUAAACAUAGUCUGUGAUAAUUUUGGAAAGUGUGCUAUUAAAAUAAAGAGGAAAGAACUUCCAAGAUUCUCUUGGAAAACGAAUGUGUUCACAAAUGUCGAGCAAAACAGGAAUUAACUGCAUAGGCUAAACUAAUAAAAGGCCAAAGUAAUCUUUUUAUGACUUUUUGUUUAAAACAUUGCUGAUCCUUUCUGUUUUGGUUUUCAGAGUCAAGAAAACUUUUUUCUUUUUAGCUAUUUAUGGCUUUUAGCAGUUAAGUAAAGUAUACUCCUAUAAAUAAAUUUUGGAGCAUAUCUCUCUCCACCUGAUUUUUCCAGAAUUUGGAAACUAUUUGUGAGUAUUUGUAUGAUGAUAUAGUUAUUUGCAAAAGUACAAUAAGAAUCUGUUUUCUUUUGUAAUAGGACACAAUUGGAGAAAUUGUUUUUGUUUUUUUUCUUACCAAGGCUUUGACUGGAAUGGCAUGCUUUCACAUAUAAACAUCCUGCUCUAAGGAAUCAAAGUUGACUUAUAGAGCUAAUAAAAGCCCCUUGGAAAAACUAGCUUCAUACCUUGCCUAUGCAUUCCCUGUACAGGAUUCUUGACCUGUGGCUAGAGGUGAACACUUAACCAUGAGUAGAAGCUCUGGAGAUGAAAAAGUAUUAGAAAAACACAGAUAACAAAGAAUCAACAGAGCGCUUGGAUAUUUAUGUUCAUGGCAUGUGUAUAUAUUUUACAUGUAUCAAGAUUAAGACAAAAAGGUUGCCCCCUUCAGCAUGUCGAGUCAUGUGAGGGUGGCUACCCUCUGGGGCUGCAGCUUUCUCACUUUGGAAGACUUAUGAGUUUUUUCCUGUGCCCUGUACAGUGAAGAACAAAGAAACUAGUGACAGUUUGAUGAGAAACAGAUAUACACAUAGCUUCAAAGAAUCUCUCCAUAAAGUACUUAUUCAUUAUAAAAGGAAAAAAAUAAUUUCAUAGGGAAGAAACCUGGUGGAUGACAUCUUAAUCAAGUGAUCAAAGUUACCACCACGACUAAUGACACAAACCAACAUUAUAUGCCUCCUGAUGUGAUGUGACAUGCUAGAAAGAAAACAACAUCAUUUAUACGGUAUUUCUGCCAGAGAAACAUAAUCUGCAUUUUCAUGUUAAAGUGAAGUCGAUUAUACAUAGCAUUGUUAAAAGUGAUUUUGGAGUUUUUCUCUUCAUACAAUUUUAAGGUUGUAAAGUUGACAGUCUGUUUUUAAUUCACUUUUACAAGUUGUAAAUGUUUUGCAAAUAUGUUUCUUUCCUGUAAGAUUUAUUUCUUAGCUGGUUAACCUAGACAAAUUGAUUUCCCAGAGGUUACUUUGUUUAAUGUUAUGGUACCUAUACACUAAAUAAUCUAUAAGGAUAAGACAAUAUACUUUGAUGUUUAUUUUACAUAUUUAUAAACAUUUUUGACUCAAAUUAUGAAAAAGUUUUUCCUAAAAUUUUCUAGUGGAUGUGCUGUCUCUUAACAUUCUCCUUAGCUGUCAAUUGAUUUCCUUGUUUAACUAUUUUAAAGUUCUUUAUAAUAGUUGUUAUUCAUAAAUCAAGUGCUUUUACUCUUACAAUAAAAAUAUACACUUAUAUUUCCACUCACAAUGCACUUAAAGAAAACUUUCAGUCCUGGUUACAUUUAAAAUAGUUACCUACAUUUAUUUUAUAUUGACAAUAUCUGAAUCAAAAACCCACUGAUAGCAUCUACUAAAGCUGAACAUUCACACAUUGCAUGAAAUAGGAAAGGAGGGCUUAUGUCCUCCAAUAGGUGUGUUCAUAGCAGUUUAGUAUAAAAUCCCCAAACUGCCUAUCAACAGUAGUGUCUCUCAAUAGGAGAAUGUAUAAGGACAUUUUAGUAUACUUAUACAAUCAAGCAGUGGAAAAAAAUAAACUAUUGCUUUAUGCACCAACAUGGAUAAAUAUCACAGACCUAUUGAUAAAUGAAAGAAGUCAGAAAUGAAAAGGCUGAAAAUUGUAUGAGCCAUGUAUGUGAAAAUCAAGAACAGACAAAACCAAUCUACAGUGACAGAUGUCAGAAUGAUGGUUACCUUUAGAGUUUAUUGAGUGCAAGAAUAUGGGUGUAGCCUUCUGGGAUGUUGAAAAUAUUCUCUAUGUUGAUUUGGGUAUGGCUUAAAAGGAUUUAUGCAUGUCUAGAAAGUUAUCAAGCUGUGCAAUUAAGACCUAUGUAUUUUAUUAUAUGUAAUCUAUACCAUAUUUCAAUAAAAAUAUGAAUACCUUU
Molecule: long non-coding RNA, 6886 nt
Organism: Homo sapiens (human)
Lineage: Eukaryota; Metazoa; Chordata; Mammalia; Primates; Hominidae
Exons: 3
Source: RefSeq, a predicted model, not a curated record